GAUUCGGGAGAGGGAUGUGGAAUUCCAGGUGUAGCGGUGAAAUGCGUAGAUAUCUGGAGGAACACCGGUGGCGAAGGCGGCAUCCUGGACCGAUAUUGACGCUGAUGCGCGAAAGCCAGGGGAGCAAACGGGAUUAGAUACCCCGGUAGUCCUGGCCCUAAACGAUGAAUGCUUGGUGUGGCGGGUAUCGAUCCCUGCCGUGCCGAAGCUAACGCAUUAAGCAUUCCGCCUGGGGAGUACGGUCGCAAGGCUGAAACUCAAAUGAAUUGACGG
This 273-nucleotide ribosomal RNA is filed under the name uncultured bacterium. Its description in RNAcentral is "partial 16S ribosomal RNA". It matches the Rfam family "Bacterial small subunit ribosomal RNA", at positions 642 to 916 of the family's 1533-position model. The record is from RNAcentral.